UGAGGAAUAUUGGUCAAUGGUCGGGAGACUGAACCAGCCAAGCCGCGUGAGGGAUGAAGGUGCUAAGCAUUGUAAACCUCUUUUGUCAGGGAACAAAGGCAUCCACGAGUGGAUGUGUGAGUGUACCUGAAGAAAAAGCAUCGGCUAACUCCGUGCCAGCAGCCGCGGUAAUACGGAGGAUGCGAGCGUUAUCCGGAUUUAUUGGGUUUAAAGGGUGCGUAGGCGGCCUGUUAAGUCAGCGGUAAAAGCCCGGGGCUCAACCCCGGCGAGCCGUUGAAACUGGCUGGCUGGAGUUGGCGAGAG
Molecule: ribosomal RNA, 303 nt
Filed under: uncultured bacterium
Lineage: Bacteria
Description: bacterial SSU rRNA
Rfam family: Bacterial small subunit ribosomal RNA
Source: RNAcentral